CAGCCGCCGCGGUAAAACCAGCACCUCAAGUGGUCAGGAUGAUUAUUGGGCCUAAAGCAUCCGUAGCUCGUUUUGUAAGUUUUCGGUUAAAUCCAUGCGCUUAACGUAUGGGCUGCCGGGAAUACUGCAUAACUAGGAAGUGGGAGAGGUAGACGGUACUCGGUAGGAAGGGGUAAAAUCCUUUGAUCUAUUGAUGACCACCUGUGGCGAAGGCGGUCUACCAGAACACGUUCGACGGUGAGGGAUGAAAGCUGGGGGAGCAAACCGGAUUAGAUACCCGGGUAGUCCCAGCUGUAAACUAUGCAAACUCAGUGAUGCAUUGGCUUGUGGCCAAUGCAGUGCUGCAGGGAAGCCGUUAAGUUUGCCGCCUGGGAAGUACGUACGCAAGUAUGAAACUUAAAGGAAUUGGCGGGGGAGCAC
RNAcentral lists this ribosomal RNA (420 nucleotides) under uncultured Nitrososphaerota archaeon. Its description in RNAcentral is "bacterial SSU rRNA". It matches the Rfam family "Archaeal small subunit ribosomal RNA", at positions 459 to 879 of the family's 1478-position model. Lineage: Archaea; Thermoproteati; Nitrososphaerota. The record is from RNAcentral.